UCGGCCCCUGUGCGCGUGCGCGGAGUCGGGCUGUUUGGAGUCGGCCAGGACCGGCGGCUGUCUUCCCGUUACCCCAUGGGGGUCGGUAGGGCGGCAGGUGCACCCCAGACAACGCUUCACCCUGCAGUAAAUUCCGUAAUCACAGGUCACCGAGUGGGCGCCCCUUUGAAGUGAGGGACUUUCUUCUUGUUCCUGCGGUGGAUACAAUUUGGCCGAGAUAUCAAAUGCAGAUAGUAAAAAUUUAAUUAACAAACCAAAGCCUUUAUCUGUAGUUUUUAGAACUGUGGCCAACAAUUUUCUUCAAUCUCAAGAGCUCCAGUCAGAGCUGAGAGAAGAAAGCAGCGCCUUUGUAGUGCGGAGAACAUACAGCUUUUCCUGAUGAUGGCUCCCACAGAUAAGGCUCCUCUCAACUGCCUACUCCUUGGAAGAGGCUUUGAGGCCCCUCUGCAAGUGGGGCUGCAUUUUUGAGAGCCGUUUCACAUUUUGCUGUGCUUAACGCUUUAUCUGCAGAGUCCCGGAUGAUUCUCCCAACAAGCCACGCUGUGAGAGACUGAGUCUCUUGUGUAGGAUUAUGUGCACAGGCAGCAGACCCAGGACAGAAAACAUAAUCACCCCAGUCUUUCUUAUCAGAAGCUUAUUGAGGAUGCAGUCUUAGGUGACGUGGAGAUAAAGUGACACUAAUUACUUACAGGUAACAGUUUACUUCCAUACCAGCCUUUCAACAAAUUCACACGGGGAACAGCUAAUGCUGCUGUCCACUAGAGCUUCUGUGGAUGGGGAAACCGAGACUCGGAGAGGCCAAGAACGUGUUCUGUCUUCUAGUCCAGGCGGAACUCUCCUGAAGAAAGCAAAAGGAAAUCAUGCAAGGCCAUGUGUAAGUAACAUGCAAUGAAAGCAUCAGAAUCCAAAUAGGUGACCAUCUUGUUGGAAAAACAAAAGAAAAUGCUUGAGAUAGUCUCAAGAUUAAGCAAAAAUGAUCAGAAAAACUGUAAGAAGCUGCCAUCAUGUUUAAAGCAGCACAUGGUUUUAAAACAUACCUCCUCACCCUACGGUUAAAAAAUAAAUAGGAGUUCUUAAAGGCUUCAAAAAACAAUAGCAUUGCAAGACCUUUAUUUUUAUAAUUCAGUGAAUCUGUAAUAUAUUAAACAUGAGAGGAUCCUC
Long non-coding RNA from Manis javanica (Malayan pangolin), 1161 nucleotides. RefSeq lists it as uncharacterized. NCBI's taxonomy places the organism in Eukaryota, Metazoa, Chordata, Mammalia, Pholidota, Manidae. The record is from RefSeq and is a predicted model, not a curated record.